Molecule: transfer RNA, 72 nt
Filed under: Plutella xylostella (diamondback moth)
Lineage: Eukaryota; Metazoa; Arthropoda; Insecta; Lepidoptera; Plutellidae
Description: tRNA-Ser
Source: RNAcentral
ACCGAAUGGCGUAGUGGUUAGUGACUUUGACUACUGAGCCGAAGGUCCCGGGUUCGAUUCCCGGCUGGGGAA